Molecule: unclassified non-coding RNA, 380 nt
Filed under: soil metagenome
Description: partial contains 5.8S ribosomal RNA, internal transcribed spacer 2, and large subunit ribosomal RNA
Rfam family: 5.8S ribosomal RNA (bases 1-120)
Source: RNAcentral
GAUGAAGAACGUAGCGAAAUGCGAUAAGUAAUGUGAAUUGCAGAAUUCAGUGAAUCAUCGAAUCUUUGAACGCACCUUGCACCCUUUGGCAAUCUGAAGGGUAUGCUCGUUUGAGUGUCAUUGUACUCUCACACUCCCGAUCUUUGCAUUGGGAGCAGUGGACUUGGGUUUGCUGCUUCACCGUCGCUUACCUCAAAUAGGUUAGUGCAACUCUUGGUUGGACAUAGUACGGCGUGAUAAGUGUUCUUCGCCGGUGCCUCGCAAAGAGGGUGGCCGAUCGGGAUGUUGUGCUCCAAACCGUCUUCGGACAAUCUCUGACGACUUGACCUCAAAUCGAGUAAGACUACCCGCUGAACUUAAGCAUAUCAAUAAGCGGAGGA